GACGAACGCUGGCGGCGUGCUUAACACAUGCAAGUCGAACGGAAAGACCCUGCUUUUGUGGGGUGCUCGAUUGGCGAACGGGUGAGUAAAACGUGAGUAAACUGCCCUUGACUUUGGGAUAACUUCAGGAAACUGGGGCUAAUACAGGAUAGAAGCUCCUGCUGCAUGGUGGGGGUUGGAGAGUUUCGGCGGUUGGGGAUGGACUCGCGGGUUAUCCGCUUGCUGGUGGGGUAGUGGCUUAACAAGGCUUUGACGGGUAGCCGGCCUGGGAGGUUGACCGGCCACAAUGGGACUGAGAUACGGCCCAGACGGCUACCGUAGGCAGCAGGCGGGAAUAUUGCACAAUGAGCGGAAGCCUGAGGCAGCAACGCCGCGUGCGGGAUGACGGCCUUCUGGUUGUAAACCGCUUUCGCCUGUGACGAAGCGUUAGUGACGGUAAUUGAUAAAGAAGCACCGGCUAACUACGUG
RNAcentral lists this ribosomal RNA (468 nucleotides) under uncultured bacterium. RNAcentral describes it as "partial 16S ribosomal RNA". It matches the Rfam family "Bacterial small subunit ribosomal RNA", at positions 28 to 507 of the family's 1533-position model. The record is from RNAcentral.